AGGUUCACCGCACGCUGGGAAACGGGUCAUCGCAACCAAGGGUUCCUCACGGGAGGCAGGAACCCAAGAUCAUCACCUCCACGGUUGACGCUCUGUGACCAUGUCACCAGGAGGACAGGAACGCUGCGAGGACCUCCCAUCCGUCCCAUUGCGAGUCCAACAUCGAUUCUGCGAUUAUCACGUCUCCCGCGACAGUGACUGCGUGAGCAAAUGGGCAUGAGGGAUGUGGUCAUCCGAUGGGAUCAUCUGAAACCAGCACGGGCACCGCCCACCUUCAUCAAUUACUGCCGCCUACACCGCGCUGCAGGCACAUCUCCCGGUUAAGGUAACGACGGCGUCCGCAUGCAACAACAGCAGAGUUUACCGUGAAAGUGGUAACGCAGUAGGGUAAACUUACAGAGAGCGCUCUGUUGCAGUUCUCUCGGUGCUGAGCCGAAGGGCACGAGGGGUGCUGGGCGCUGGCUCUGGCCCGCGUGACGACUGAAAUGUGACCGUUGGCGGUUGGAAAGGCACACGUGGUGGCCCAGAAAUACCUACGCGCUGGGCCCGCUCCAGCGAGACGGCGGAUCGAGAGCCAGUUCGGGGAGCAGAAAGCAUGACUGCGAAGACCACAUUUGGAGAAGAUUGCAUCCACAUUUUGCGAGUGCUAAUGUGCUAAUCUGCUGCUUACUCCAUCCAGAUGUAUAACGCUGGGCAUCCAUGCCUCAUUACCCAGGAUCCUGAGCUGGAGCAGAGUCACCCGCUGGGCAGCCGCGGCUUUUAAAGCCUCCCUCGCUUAAAUUAUCGCAGCUUUUCGUACGCAGAUUGUGUGACGCCGCUGUACCUUGGACCUCGCAAUACAGGGUCACGGGGAACCGGAGCCCAACCCAACCACUCAGGGCGUAAGGCCGGAAGGGGAGGGGACGCACCCAGGACGGGACUCCAGUCUGUCACAAGGCACCCCAAGUGGGACUCAAACCCCAGACCCGCCAGAGAGCAGGACCCCGUCCAACCCGCUGCAACACCGCACCCCCAUAUGUCUCAAAUGAAGAAAUGGUAAAGUAUAAAAAGCAUUACUAAACCACUGAAUCGAAAUACUGAAAUAACUGACACUCCCUGGUGUUUGACUUAAGCAUCAGAGCAGCAGUGCAAAAAGGGCCUUCGACAUCCCUGGCAGGAAGACCGUGGCACGAGGGCAGCGUCUCCCUCUGAUUUGUCCCGCAUGAAGAACAGCUUCAGAGAACGAUAGAGCGUUUGAAAGAAAUUGAUUUCGGAGGCCCCCAUAUCCCUCCCGCUCUAUAAAUCUUUUCCAUAGACAAAAAUGAAUCUAUUGCUCGCCGUUCCCCUCAACUUUUCGGCAUCGCCAGCUGCCGUGGUUCCAAAGCCACAUCCCGGCAUUCGGUGUAAACAGUGGUGAACGGGCGCGCCGGACUCAGGUGCAGGAUCACGCACCAACCCCCCCCCCCACCCCCGCCUCGUCCCACUUCCCGUGUGAGCAUCAAUCCCCUCCUGAUGCAAAUUCAAAAAGAGCAUUUUAAGAGCUGAUUAAAAUUCUUUCGCAUUUUAUUGCCUUUUCUUUCUCUCGGAGAAUUCCUUCAACAGAAAUAUGUGUGAUGUUGAAAGCCAGAAGUCAUUUUGAACGGACAUUUAUGAUGGAAAUUUUACAGAACGCAAUUCUGAGCUCCAUCCAAACCUUCCAUAUCAUAAUAUGCG
Molecule: long non-coding RNA, 1692 nt
Filed under: Scleropages formosus (Asian bonytongue)
Lineage: Eukaryota; Metazoa; Chordata; Actinopteri; Osteoglossiformes; Osteoglossidae
Description: lncRNA (ENSSFOG00015031187.1)
Source: RNAcentral